This 441-nucleotide ribosomal RNA is filed under the name uncultured bacterium. RNAcentral describes it as "partial 16S ribosomal RNA". It matches the Rfam family "Bacterial small subunit ribosomal RNA", at positions 338 to 795 of the family's 1533-position model. The record is from RNAcentral.
CCUACGGGAGGCAGCAGUAGGGAAUUUUGCGCAAUGGGGGAAACCCUGACGCAGCAACGCCGCGUGAUCGAUGAAGCCUUUCGGGGUGUAAAGAUCUGUCAUUGGGGACGAAACCUGACGGUACCCACAGAGUAAGCACCGGCUAACUCCGUGCCAGCAGCGGCGGUAAUACGGGGGGUGCAAGCGUUGUCCGGAAUCAUUGGGGGUAAAGAGGUCGUAGGUGGAACAUUAAGGCUGGUGUUAAAGCCGUAAGCUCAACUUCCGUCGGGCCUUGGAUACUGGCGAGCUUGAAUGCGGGAGAGGCAAAGGGAAUUCCUGGUGUAGCGGUGAAAUGCGUAGAUAUUAGGAGGAACACCGGUGGCGUAAGCGGUUUACUGGGCCGUAAUUGACACUGAGGAACGAAAGCCGGGGUAGCAAAUGGGAUUAGAUACCCUUGUAGUC